CUAACAAGGAUUCCCCCAGUAACGGCGAGUGAAGCGGGAUGAGCUCAAAUUUGAAAUCUCCGGUGCUUGCACCGGCGAGUUGUAGUUGCGAGAAGCACUUUCUAGGCGGAUCGGUGGCGCCUAAGUUGCUUGGAACAGCAUGUCGCAGAGGGUGACAACCCCGUCUGUGGCGUGGCCGGCCGCUGACGAUGUGCUUUCGAAGAGUCGGGUUGUUUGGGAAUGCAGCCCAAAAUGGGUGGUAAACUCCAUCUAAAGCUAAAUAUUGGCGUGAGACCGAUAGCGAAGGAAACGAAUGGACUCAGCAAUGCGCCGUUUGAGAUUCAGCCGGUGGGUGGGAUCGGCUUCGGGUUUGCGGAUCUGAAUGGACCGCGGCCUGGGGCUCGUUUGUCCUCGCCGUCGCACUUCUCUUGGGCGCGCGUCAACGUCGGUUGGGACUGGGUCUGAAAGGUGCCGGGAAGGUAGGUCUGGACCUCCGGGUCCGGUCUGUUACAGCUCGGUUCUCUCAUGGCUCGGGCCCGACCGAGGAGUGGCAGCGCAUGCCUCUUGUGGCUAGGGUGCCGUCCUUCCGGCCGGUUGUCGAAUGCGGUGGACUGCUUGCAGUGCUCCGCGACUGCUGCCGGUCGUUGGGGUGGUGAUCU
RNAcentral lists this ribosomal RNA (638 nucleotides) under Dichocoenia stokesii. RNAcentral's name for it is "eukaryotic LSU rRNA". The stretch from base 1 to 287 matches the Rfam family "Eukaryotic large subunit ribosomal RNA", at positions 65 to 358 of the family's 3401-position model. Lineage: Eukaryota; Metazoa; Cnidaria; Anthozoa; Scleractinia; Meandrinidae. The record is from RNAcentral.